Molecule: non-coding RNA, 148 nt
Filed under: Chlorocebus sabaeus (green monkey)
Lineage: Eukaryota; Metazoa; Chordata; Mammalia; Primates; Cercopithecidae
Source: Rfam by way of RNAcentral
GCCGGGCAUGGUGCUGCGUGCCUGUAAUCCCAGCUACUCAGGAGGCUGAGACAGGAGAAUUGCUUGAACCUAGGAGGCAGAGGUUGCAGUGAGCCAAGAUCGCGCCACUGCACUCUAGCCUGGGCGACACAGGGAGACCCUGUCUCAA